RNAcentral lists this ribosomal RNA (121 nucleotides) under Petromyzon marinus (sea lamprey). Lineage: Eukaryota; Metazoa; Chordata; Hyperoartia; Petromyzontiformes; Petromyzontidae. The record is from RNAcentral.
GCCUUUGAGGAAAUCACCCUGAAAGUGACAGAUCUCAUCAGAUCUUGGGAGCUAAUCAGGCUUGAGCCUGGUUAGUAUUUAGAUGGGUGACCCCAUCAGUGCUUACUAGGUGUUGUCGGUG